UAAUACAACUGUGUAUACCAAAGGCAGUAAAGUAUUAAGAACACCUUCGACAGUUUUGGUAGGCCCGAGCACUGUAUAAUUAGAGAUGGGGCAAUUUUCUCAUUAUUUACACAGUUGAAAUGCACUGUUGAUGUUAUGGUGCAAUAUUAUUGACACAACUGCAGACACACACAAUCCUCACUUGGAAGGAUGCUGCAGGACCAGAAAAAUUACGGUGCAAGCUGAAACUGAACAAGGCAAUCUGAUCAAUCAAUGGGGAAAAUACCCUUGUCCAGUGACAUCCAAAUUUUUUCAUCAAAACAUUAAAAACUCUCUUACUUGCAAUUUAAAAUACAUAGAAAACUUAAAAAGAGCAAGGCUGAUAUUUAUUUAGUAUACUGUAAGUAAAAGCAUUGAGAAUUAAAUGUGAUUUUUAAAAGAUCAAUCAUAUUAAGAGUAGUUUGACAUCUUGCCAUUUGUGACAACACGGAUGGACCUCGAGGGUAUUACGCUAAGAGAAAUAAGUCAGACAGAGAAAGAGAAAUACCAUAUGAUUUCACUCAUGUGUGGAAGAUAAACAACCAAACACAUAGACACAGAGAACCAACUGAUGGUUACCAGAGGGGAACGGGGUUGAGGGAGGGUAAAAGGGCACAUGGGUACAACGACGGAUGGCAACUAGACUUCUGGUGGGGAACACGAUGUAAUCAAUACAGAAAGUGAAAUAUAAUGCUGUGCACCUGACAUCCACACAAUGCUAUAAAGCAACGUUACCUCAAUAAAAAAGAGCAGUUUCAACAGUGCUUACCUCUUCGCAUUGUAUAUUUUCUAUGACUUGAUGGAUUGCCCUAGUCCUUUCUAACUUUUGAUCAGCUUUCAACAUUGCAUUCUUCGCACUUUCACUGUCGUGUGAUGUUUCAGAGUUCCCUUAACGUCCAAGUUUUCACCAGCGUCACCUCCCCUGGGACGUCUUCAGCCUGGGCUCGUUCAUGUUGGUAAGCUCGCCUUCAUGAAGCUCCUCUGGUCACACACCUACAGUGUCUCAAACAGCAUCAUCCUACCCCUGCUCAGCUGUCUCCUAAUCACAUCCAAGCUCACUUCUCGCAUCAUCACUUUUCACUUCUUUGCUGCAUUUCCAUCUUUCUUGGGCAAUUCCCUCUUUCGAUUAUCCAUUUCAGGGGGGAGACAAGAUGGCAACAAAACAACACAUUUUGUCGUCUGUGUGACGUGAAAAACAGAUAUGCCCUGAGUAACCACCGACAGAUCGCUGUUGUCACUGAUCAUGAUGUGCCUUCUUGAUCUAGGUAGUGAUCUGCAGACUGAACAGGUAGCAGAAACUUUGAACAGGAGAAUACAGUCCACCAAAAAAGCAGCCGACUGAUAAGACUCCACUCAGAGAACGCCCAGCCGCGCACUGCGGUCCCCAAAGGCAGCUGCCGUCAAGGACUCAGCUCCGCUGACCGUCAAGCUCUUCUCAGUGUUGACAGCCACAGGUCUCUAUCUGAGGCCUUGGGCAGAGGUCUUCUUCAGGAGCCCCUGCUGAGGGGUCCUCACGGG
This 1536-nucleotide long non-coding RNA is filed under the name Equus caballus (horse). RNAcentral's name for it is "lncRNA (ENSECAG00000047633.1)". Lineage: Eukaryota; Metazoa; Chordata; Mammalia; Perissodactyla; Equidae. The record is from RNAcentral.